AGGAUCCCCACGGCUUGUUUCCUGAAUCUGGGCUCUGAACCCCUGGCCUCUCCUCCGAGGGCAGCGUGGUCACCCUUCAGUAGCCUUGCGUCCGAGAGGACAGCACGACUUAGGACCACUUUCUGUACGAGACGCUACGUUCACAGCCCGGGAUCAUGUGUGUGUGUGGCUGGGACCGUUGUUCAGUGUCUGGCUCCCUCACUAGCAUGUACACAUGGGACAGGAUAUGCAUCUGCCACGUUCACGGUUGUAUCUGCUGAAAUAAACAACACUUUAAAGAAUGAGCCCCAGACCUGAAGUCAGAAUGGCGGAUGCUGCAAACCACAGAUGCUGGUUUGCCAUCAAGUUGCAUCAUACAUGGGCAACUCUAGGGAGUGACCUCUGGGUGAAACCUAGCAGGGAUUUUUAAAGAAGGUAGUAAAGUGUAAUAAUUUUCUGGAGCAACACUGGGCUAGCCAGCUAGGAAUGAGAUCAGACAGUAAAAAAAUCAUAUUAGAGCUUGUUACCUGCUUGGAGUUCCAGGUUCAGGCCACAAGGGGGCAGCACUUGAGAGAUGAUGCACCCAGGUGUGCGUUGCUUUCUUCCCUAGGGGCUUUGCCAUCAUGUUCUUUGACUUGGCUGCUUUUUCCUCUGCCUGAGAGCAACGCAGCACCUGAAUUCUUAGAACUAAUUCUCAUUGCAGUUAAAGGUCAGAGAGGGGGAGGUGGCGUUCCACUAGAAGUAGUCCAGGUAGCCUGCCUGGAGGAAGUGGAUCUUGGUCUGGAUGAGUCAAGGCCAGUGGCACCACCCCUCAGCAAUGUGACUCAUCACUGUGGCCAGAUGCUGUUCUGGGUGCUGUGGUCAAGACGUGGGCCUCAGUGGGAGCCACGCCUGGAGGAUAAGAUUUAUUUGGGGAGCCAAAAGAUGCUCACACAGCUCAACGUAGGACAAAGGCAAUGAAGAAGAUUUAUUCUGACUGAUGGGAACUGGAGAAGCCUCACGGCAAAGGAGGCGUUGGAGGUGGACCCUGAGGAAGGGGUGGCUUUGAUCACGGUGACUUGUGGGUCUCAUCCUGAGCUUUCUCCACCUGAGCUGAGAGGUGACACGAAGGAAGCAUUCACAGCAUGGGGAGUGUGUGUGUGUGUAUGCGUGUGUAUGUGUGUGUGUGUGUCUGCGUGUGCCUAGCAGAGCAGUGAGAAUGCACGUGUUACUAUUAGAAAUCUGAGUUCAAGUUUCAGCUUGGCUGUUACUAACCUGUAUCCCCCUAAAACUACUUAACUUUUUUGAGCUUACAUUUUCUCAUCUAAAGCAUGGACAUAAUACUUGUACUUGUGGCGUAGGUCGUUCUGUAAGUAAAUUACAUAAACAGGGAAAAAGUCAUCCCUGGGAACUGAAAUUCUAAAUCAUGUGUAAUCUAGGAAGAAAGAGAAUGAUAAAGGUACUGGUUAAUUUAACGGAUAUUUAUAAAGCAACUACCACGUACCAGGUACCACGCGAGGCCCUUGAGAUACAACAGAGCGAGGAAAGAGAAAUAUUCCUGCCCCCUUGGAGCUACGGGGGAAACGGUAGACAAUACCGCUUAGUCCAUGGCAGGCCAAUUGGCCAUACGUUUUAUGGAGGAAAUUGACCAGGGUAAAGGGUAAGAAAUACUACCCUUUAGAGGGGAAAGGUCUUUUGCAUAUCAUUUGCUUAAGCAAGUUGCCUGCAGUCUUGCUUUGGGGGGUGGAGGUGGUAAGAAAUAAAUAUUUAAGACUUUUUUUUUUUUUGCUUUUUAGGGCUGCACCUGUGGCAUAUGGAAGUUCUCAGGCUAGAGGUCAAAUUGGAGCUACCGCUGCUGGCCUACGCCAUAGCCACAGCCACGUGGGAUCCCCAACCCACUGAGUGAGGCCAGGAAUUGAAUCCACAUCCCCAUGGGUCCUAGUCGGAUUCGUUUCUGCUGUGCCACCAUGGGAAUUCCCAAGAAAUUUUGAUACUUCUAAAGAAUAUAGGUUUAAAUAUGUUUGGGAACGUCUUUAAAAGGCAAGCAGUAGUCAAAUGUCUGAAGUCUAAGAAGAAAAUAGGACAAUACAACCCAAUUCGACAAAAUUAAAGAAAGGAAAAAAUACGGUAAACAUAAAAUAAAAUAGAUGGCAAAUAUAUGUUAUCAAACCGGUGGAGAACAAAAGACUCAGGUUUGAUUUAAAAAGAAAACCCAGCUAUAAACACUUCCCUGGAGACAUACGUCAAAUAAAAUGAUCCAGAAAGUUUCAUCAUAAAGAGAUGAACCAGAAUAUACUGGGCAGCACAAAGGGAAACCCAAGGUCAGGGUGGAAAUAUUAAUAUCAGAUGAGGUAGAACUGAAGGCCAAAGGCAGUAAACAGGAAAAAGAGAAGUAUUUUAUGCUGAUAAAAUCUACAGUCCAUCAAGAAGACAUAACAGGCAUGAAUCUUAAUCCGCCAAGCUGGGCACAGGCUUUAAUACAAGAUCUCGACAAAGCCAUGAUCGCAGCAGCAGACGGCAGCAUUCCUCUCUCCUAAUUAAAUAGAUCACCUGGACCUGGAGGCAGAUAAAGCGUCGUUCAUCAAGCAUGAUGAACAAGCUGGAUUUAUGAUUUAUUAAUCCAACUUUGUUCCAAAGGAACAGCCUUGUUCUCCUUGGCCGCAGAGCCCUCUCAGUGCUUCGUCAUGGACUUGCUCCCUGGUAGAGUUCUGUCGGAGCCACUGUGAGCAGAAAUUGAGGGGCAAAUAAGUUUGUUUGUUUUGUUUUUAAACAAGGAGGAAAUAUGUGAGCCCACAUCCAGGAGGGCUGGGAAGGGUGGACUCUAUCAAAGGCCUGGCGGGGGCCUCCUGUUCUCAUCCACUGGGAAAGAGGGCGGAACCUUUUCAUCUGCGGAAUAAAAGUCCUUCUCUUUAGUCAUAGUGGAGCAAACUGAUAUCAGAUGGCUGCCCUCGAAUCCGGAAAGUUUUGCCAAGGGAACACGCAGAUGGCUUUAAACUUGGAAGCUCGAGCAUGAUGAACAGAAUCAUCACGCUGUCUGAGACCACUCGUAGCUGACUCUGCUGCCAGUGGAGUCGGUGCCAAUGGGGUCACGGGCUGCGUGGACAGGGAGCAAGGCCAGGCGGGGAGGAGGAAGGGGAGAAGGAUGCUGAUUAGGAAUCAACAGAGUCCAUUGCUCUGGCCAAGAAGCAAAUGUUAACAAAUCCCAGAAAGAGGAUAAUUUACUGGUCACCUUCUCUGACAAUAAUAUUCUAUGAUAUUGAUAAGAAUAUGAGAUUUUUCUCCCCUUAAAAAAAUUAAAGUACAUCUUAUAUACCAUAAGGUAUACAAAUGUUAAGUAUACACCUUAAUUUUUACACACAAAAAACCAUCCAGAACCUUCUAAAGAUUCUUGUCUGUGUCUUGUCUCCAGAGCCAACCACUAUUCUAACCCCAGUCACCAGUGAUGAGCUUUUCUGUUCUUGAAUCUUAUGAAAACGUAAUUAUAUAGCACGCACUCUUCUGUGUCAGGCUCCUUUUACUCAGCAUGCUAUUUUUGACAUUCACACAUACUAUUGUGUGUAUCAGUCCCAUUCUUAUUCUUUGCUGUGUAGUAUUCCUUUGUAUAAAUUUAUAACAAUUUAAGGAUCCCUUAUCUAGUUGAUGGAUAUUUUCACAGGGAAAGUUUAAAACAUGCUCUUCUAAAUGGUUUUCACAUCAAGGAAGAAAUGAAAACUUAAAAGUUAGUUUUUUUAGACAUCAAUAUAUUGCAGCAAUGCCUUGGGUGUAGCCAAGGCUAUAUUCAGAGGGAAAUCCGUAGCCUAAAAUAUUUUUACUAUUAAAUAAAAAGGGUGAGUGGAUAAAAAUGAACUAAUAAUUUAACUAAAUAAUAUAAAAAGGAAUGAUAGAAAUAAAUCUGAAAACGGAAAGUUAUUAGAGGUUAAACCUUGAAUUAUUAGAAAAAUAGUGAAGUUGAUAGUUUGUUACUUUGAAAGAUUAAUAACAUAGACAACCACAUCAUAAACUGUAUCAUAAAAAGAGCAAAAUAAAUAUUUGCAACAUAGAGAGAGUGUAUAUGAUCGUAGAUAUAAACAAGAUUUUUUCAAAUUCUGAGAGAAUAUCUUACAUUACAAGAGGAUAUUUAAAAAUCUAGUGAAAUAAUAAGACAACUUUCUUGAAUAAUGUGAAUGUGUAAAAUGGACAUUGGAAGACUUUGAAAAGUUCCUACGUGGGAUAACCAUUGAAGAAAUUUGAAACGACCAUGGAGGAAAUGUAAAAGUUUAUCAAAGAUUUAACAUAAAAGCUACUUUAAGUGAAUUUGGUUUUAUGUGGAUUCAAGCUCAUCAAAGAAAAAAAAAAAAAAGGCCAUAGUUCCAUUCAAACUUUAUCAGACCAUUGAAAAAGAGCAAAGUCUUCUCAAUUAAUUUUAUGAGGCUGGCACACUCUGGACACCCAACUUUGAUAGACUGGCUCACAAACAGAACCGUGUUGGACGAGGGAGGACCACUUGGCCCUGGAUUCUGGCCCAGGGAUCCCCACUUGGAAAGAUGGGCUUAGACUGGCAGGAUCUGGUUUUUCAAAGAAGGCCAAGAAUUGAAUGUUUGUGUGUAAUCUUCCAAUUUUUCUGUGCUGGCAGCUAAGGCAUUUUUUAAACACCUGACAUGGGCUAAAUCAAAUUUGCUGACUGGAUUUGGCUACCAUCUUGCAACCUUUACUCCAAUGGAGUCAGACCCAGGAUCUCAAACAAGGAACCAGAAAGCCUAACUAUCCACGGCUCAGUAGGAAUAGAAUGUGAGCUACACGCUUAAUUUAAAAUUUUCUAGUAUGAUACUAGAAACAGACUAAGAAAUAGAAACAGAUGAAAUUAAUUUUUAAAAUAUAUUUUAUGUAGUAUAUCAAAAAUAUCAUUUCAACAUGUUAUCAACAAUUAUUGAUGAGAUAUUUUACAUUUUUUUGGGUUAUGUUUUAAUCUUUAAAAUCUAGUGUGUGCAUUUUAUACUUAUAGUACAUUUCAAUUUAAUUGCUACAUUUACAUCGGAAAUAUUUGAUCUGGAAGUUCCGCUGUGGUUCAGUGGGUUAAGACUCCAACUUGAGUGGCUCAGGUCCCUGAGGUCAUUAAAAAAAUAAAAGAAAAG
Molecule: long non-coding RNA, 5069 nt
Filed under: Sus scrofa (pig)
Lineage: Eukaryota; Metazoa; Chordata; Mammalia; Artiodactyla; Suidae
Description: lncRNA (ENSSSCG00000056365.1)
Source: RNAcentral